GGGAAAAGAGAAGAAGGAGAGAAAAAAGACGAAAGAAGAAAGAAGAAUAAGAAGAAAAGAAGAGAAGAAGCGAAAAGAAGAGAAGAAGAUUGGGGAAAAGAUGGACUUAAUUGGAAGGCUGCUGUAGAAUCCAGCAAAGAGUUUUGGAAAAUAUGGCUCAAAGAAAGAAGAGAAGGACUCACAGAGGAAUCCAACUUGAUGGCAUGGAGAGUUUUGGUACUUCUUCUUAGGGGGACGAGAGUCCUGCAGACUGGUACACUAGACGGAUAAUCAAUAGGAUUCGGGAUCACAUAUGCAACUCCAUAUGGGGUACAUGGGUGAGUUUUGCAUGUUAUUUAUUUUUUCCAUUGUCUUUGUAUUUUCCAGUUUAUUCAUCAUCAUUUUCUUAUUUUAGUUUUAGAGGUUUAAUGAAGGGGUACCACCUACUUUGGCUAGAUGUGGUCAUCCAAAUUUGGCUCGGGAUUGGUACAAAGUGCUUCCUUACAUAUUUAAGGGGCUUGUUGAUUCAUCUUACCUGAGAUGAUUGGUCUCAUUGGAGACUAGAAAGUUUAGUCCGACAUUGGCGGGAGCCCUGAUUGAGAGGUGGUGGCCGAGUACUCACUCAUUCCAUUUCCUGACAGGCGAGAUUACCAUCACGCCCUUGUGUUUUUAUGCCUUGACAGGCAUACCAUUUGGGGGGAGGCCCUUGACCCUUCCCGAGGCCAUGAAAACCAGAGAGUUCACUGACUUGAUGGGUAUAGAUAUCGAGGAUGAUCAAAAACAUAUCCGUGUAGGUGAGAUCAGUGCUCGUUGGUGGAGGAUCGGCUUGGGGGUGAAUCCUAGUAACAUUACGUAGGUGACCCAUUCUUUCCUCUUAUUCACUAUGGGCCAGUGUCUCUUUAGUGACCUCUGAGGGGGGGUAGAUAUCCAUAUGGCUGCCAUUUUUUGGAACAUUCGGGAUCUGGAUACUUGGGACUAGGGUGAAGCCACUUAUGCCUACCUAUUGCUGACCUUCGACCUUCUAGCAUAUGGGGACCGGGGCCUCAAGGGUGCAGGCUACAUUCUCCAGGUAGCUUCUUGCCCCUGCACACAUUUCUUUUCAUUUGGUUGCACUUCCUUACUUUAAUUUUUCAAUUCAGCCCUGGUGUUAUAAACAUUUGGAGAUUAUGGCUCCCAUACUGAGGGCUCCUCAGCAUCUUUUUUCCCCGCAGCUAUGAGAUGGGGAAACAGUCAAGUACUCCAGGGUCACUGCCAUCCUCCAGGGGGCACCGCUCGUUCUCUUCUGAAUGGACUUAUAGAGGUUACUUGAAGGCUGUUUCAGCAUCUUAGGUUUUCGGACCUUGAUGAAGUUGCUCGGGCCAAGUACCUAAUAGAGAAUCAUGUUCUGUUUAGGGGAGUCUAGGGCCAUGCUUGGUGUUUGGGAGAGCGGGUCACACCCUAGUGGUCUGAUUUUGACCUGCGUUUCCCUCCUUGUCUUCCUCCACCUACCAUGCACCAUCCGGAGCAUAUUCCUACGGAUCAAAUUGAGGGAUUGGCAGAAGGAAUGUGGGAUGACUCCUUUCUAGACCAGGAUAGGCAUUACAAGACCUUCAUUGAGGAAGAGACAGUCUGUACUCCCUUUGGUCCCAAUGGUCUAGCGGGGAGGAUACGUUAUGUGGACCCUUCUAUUGUUCAGUCACAAGUUGAUGCUACUGGUCCAUCCUGAAUUGGAACUUCUACUAUUAUGGGUGGAUCUCUCUGGAUGGCCACCAUCCCUUUUCAUGGCUUCCCGGGUUGGUCAUAUCCCAGUGCAGCCCAUCUUGGUAUCCCUCGGCUCCUAGAGCAUAGACUGGACAAAGAUGCUUCUCUCAGGCUGCCUAUUCCAUAUGACUGUGUGAGUAUCCAACCACCUCUCAUUGGCUUUUGACUGACAUGGUCCUCAUCAGGUGUCUCCGAAGGCCUACAUCGAGCAAUAGGAGAAUGCCCAGCAACAUGCGUAGAUUCAAGAUCUCACCCAGAGGUUGGCGAACUUGAGAUUGGCACCUAUUAGCAAUUUGAUGUUCCAUAAAGAUGACACCGAGUAUGGUUUAGACAAGGAUUUUGACUCUUAGGGAUCUGUUAUUAUAGUUCUUGCAAACACAAACACAUGCAUAUCUUUUUUCUUUUUCUUUUUUCCCUCCUAAUGUUUAUUCCUUCUUUUUGUAUUACCAGAUUUGGCCUUGUAUGA
Long non-coding RNA from Macadamia integrifolia, 2185 nucleotides. RefSeq lists it as uncharacterized. NCBI's taxonomy places the organism in Eukaryota, Viridiplantae, Streptophyta, Magnoliopsida, Proteales, Proteaceae. The transcript is spliced from 4 exons. The record is from RefSeq and is a predicted model, not a curated record.